UACAGAGGUCCCAAGCGUUGUUCGGAUUCACUGGGCGUAAAGGGUGCGUAGGCGGUCGGGUAAGUCUGAUGUGAAAUCUCCAAGCUCAACUUGGAAAUGGCAUCGGAUACUAUUCGGCUCGAGGAAUGGAGGGGAGACUGGAAUACUUGGUGUAGCAGUGAAAUGCGUAGAUAUCAAGUGGAACACCAGUGGCGAAGGCGAGUCUCUGGACAUUUCCUGACGCUGAGGCACGAAAGCCAGGGGAGCGAACGGG
Molecule: ribosomal RNA, 253 nt
Filed under: uncultured bacterium
Lineage: Bacteria
Description: partial 16S ribosomal RNA
Rfam family: Bacterial small subunit ribosomal RNA
Source: RNAcentral